Molecule: ribosomal RNA, 527 nt
Filed under: Winogradskyella sp.
Lineage: Bacteria; Pseudomonadati; Bacteroidota; Flavobacteriia; Flavobacteriales; Flavobacteriaceae
Description: bacterial SSU rRNA
Rfam family: Bacterial small subunit ribosomal RNA
Source: RNAcentral
GCGAGCCUGAUCCAGCCAUGCCGCGUGCAGGAAGACUGCCCUAUGGGUUGUAAACUGCUUUUAUACGGGAAGAAACCCAUCUACGUGUAGGUGGCUGACGGUACCGUAAGAAUAAGCAUCGGCUAACUCCGUGCCAGCAGCCGCGGUAAUACGGAGGAUGCAAGCGUUAUCCGGAAUCAUUGGGUUUAAAGGGUCCGUAGGUGGAUUGGUAAGUCAGAGGUGAAAGCCUGCAGCUCAACUGUAGAACUGCCUUUGAUACUGCUAGUCUUGAAUUAUUGUGAAGUGGUUAGAAUAUGUAGUGUAGCGGUGAAAUGCAUAGAUAUUACAUAGAAUACCAAUUGCGAAGGCAGAUCACUAACAAUAUAUUGACACUGAUGGACGAAAGCGUGGGGAGCGAACGGGAUUAGAUACCCCGGUAGUCCACGCCGUAAACGAUGGUCACUAGCUGUUCGGAUUUCGGUCUGAGUGGCUAAGCGAAAGUGAUAAGUGACCCACCUGGGGAGUACGUUCGCAAGAAUGAAACUCAA